CACGUCUAACACACAUCGUUUACGGCAUGGACUACGAGGGUAUCUAAUCCUCUUCGCUACCCAUGCUUUCGUUCUCAGUGUCAGUAAUGAUCCAGAAAGCUGCCUUCGCAAUUGGUAUUCUUUCCAAUAUCUACGCAUUUCACCGCUCCACUGGAAAUUCCCUUUACCUCUACUAUACUCUAGUCUAAUAGUUUCGACUGCGAUUUUGAAGUUGAGCCUCAAGAUUUAACAGUUGACUUAUUAAACCACCUACAGACGCUUUACGCCCAGUGAUUCCGGAUAACACUUGCAUCCUCCGUCUUACCGCGGCUGCUGGCACGGAGUUAGCCGAUGCUUAUUCUUCAGGUACACGUCAUUUUAUUCCUCCCUGAAAAAAGAGGUUUACAACCCAUAGGCAGUCUUCCCUCACGCGGUAUUGCUCCGUCAGGCUUUCGCCCAUUGCGGAAAAUCCCCCACUGCUGCCUCCCGUAGGAGUCUGGACCGUGUCUCAGUUCCAGUGUGUCUGGUCGUCCUCUCAAACCAGAUACUGAUCGUCGCCUUGGUAAGCUCUUACCUUACCAACAAGCUAAUCAGCCGCGAGCUUCUCUCUAGGCGGAUAAAUAUAAAUCCAUUUCACUCGAAAGCAUAUGGGGUAUUAGCAUUUGUUUCCAAUUGUUAUCCCCCUCCUAAAGGCAAAUUCUCACGUGUUACUCACCCGUCCGCCACUAGAGUUAAAAACUCUCGUACGACUUGCAUGUGUUAGGCAUACCGCCAGCGUUCAUCCUGAGCCAGGAUCAAACUCU
Molecule: ribosomal RNA, 782 nt
Filed under: uncultured bacterium
Lineage: Bacteria
Description: partial 16S ribosomal RNA
Source: RNAcentral